Molecule: non-coding RNA, 191 nt
Organism: Oryza nivara
Lineage: Eukaryota; Viridiplantae; Streptophyta; Magnoliopsida; Poales; Poaceae
Source: Rfam
AAUAAGUGCAGUUUUGCACUAUUCACGUUCAACGUUUGACCGUUCGUCUUAUUUAAAAUUUUUUUAUGAUUAGUAUUUUUAUUAUUGCUAUUAGAUGAUAAAACAUGAAUAGUACUUUAUGUGUGACUAAAUAUUUUUAAAUAAGACGGACGGUCAAAUGUUGGACACGGAUAUUCACGGCUGAACUUAUU